UGGUAUUGUGAUUCAUCCCUUGCAUCGCAUAUCUAACUCACAUGCUCAAUUCGUGUCAUCUCUCUGUGUAUGCCUAGUCCAUAUUCCACCGUGGGUCUGAUCAGUAUACAUUUCUGAUACUGCAAUAGCAUGCUUCGUUACAAUUCGCGAAGUGCCAGUGUCCAGAAGAUGGAUUGUGUAUGCAGUAACGAAGUUGAAUUGUCGGGUAGCCCAAAUUGAAAAUUCUACUUACUGCAGUGUGAUAGAUCCGGCCACUCCGCGUAGCCAGUACCGCAGUAUACGAGGGUAUUGUCAACAUAGACCACAAAUGUAAAUUGUGAAGUAAAAUCACCAUGUAUUGAUCUUCAGGUAUGGCGCCGACCGACCGAAGUACUUAGGCCCCUUGUCCGGUGAGACCCCAUCAUACCUCACUGGUGAAUUCGCUGGAGACUACGGCUGGGACACCGCUGGACUCUCCUCCGACCCCGAGACCUUCGCCCGCAACAGGGAGCUCGAGGUCAUCCACGCUCGCUGGGCUAUGCUUGGUGCUCUCGGGUGCGUAACUCCCGAACUGUUGGCCAAAAACGGUGUGAAAUUCGGCGAAGCUGUGUGGUUCAAGGCCGGAUCCCAGAUCUUCAGCGAGGGAGGUCUUGAUUACUUGGGCAACCCCAGCCUAGUGCACGCCCAGAGCAUCCUGGCCAUCUGGGCUUCCCAGGUGAUUUUGAUGGGAGCUGUGGAGGGUUACCGUGUUGCUGGAGGACCCCUGGGCGAGGUGACAGACCCCAUCUACCCCGGAGGCUCAUUCGACCCCUUGGGUUUGGCUGACGACCCCGACACCUUCGCAGAGUUGAAGGUGAAGGAGAUUAAGAACGGACGAUUGGCCAUGUUCUCGAUGUUCGGGUUCUUCGUCCAGGCGAUCGUGACCGGAAAGGGCCCAUUGGAGAACCUGAGCGACCACUUGGCCGACCCAGUUGCCAACAACGCAUG
RNAcentral lists this long non-coding RNA (966 nucleotides) under Physcomitrium patens. RNAcentral's name for it is "long non-coding RNA (PPAT_LNC008024)". The record is from RNAcentral. Lineage: Eukaryota; Viridiplantae; Streptophyta; Bryopsida; Funariales; Funariaceae.